Molecule: small RNA, 29 nt
Filed under: Bombyx mori (domestic silkworm)
Lineage: Eukaryota; Metazoa; Arthropoda; Insecta; Lepidoptera; Bombycidae
Description: ovarian small RNA-37962
Source: RNAcentral
UUGCUUCGUCAAGGAGCUCCGGGACUCCU